GUAAUGUCUGGGAAACUGCCUGAUGGAGGGGGAUAACUACUGGAAACGGUAGCUAAUACCGCAUAACGUCGCAAGACCAAAGAGGGGGACCUUCGGGCCUCUUGCCAUCGGAUGUGCCCAGAUGGGAUUAGCUAGUAGGUGGGGUAACGGCUCACCUAGGCGACGAUCCCUAGCUGGUCUGAGAGGAUGACCAGCCACACUGGAACUGAGACACGGUCCAGACUCCUACGGGAGGCAGCAGUGGGGAAUAUUGCACAAUGGGCGCAAGCCUGAUGCAGCCAUGCCGCGUGUAUGAAGAAGGCCUUCGGGUUGUAAAGUACUUUCAGCGGGGAGGAAGGGAGUAAAGUUAAUACCUUUGCUCAUUGACGUUACCCGCAGAAGAAGCACCGGCUAACUCCGUGCCAGCAGCCGCGGUAAUACGGAGGGUGCAAGCGUUAAUCGGAAUUACUGGGCGUAAAGCGCACGCAGGCGGUUUGUUAAGUCAGAUGUGAAAUCCCCGGGCUCAACCUGGGAACUGCAUCUGAUACUGGCAAGCUUGAGUCUCGUAGAGGGGGGUAGAAUUCCAGGUGUAGCGGUGAAAUGCGUAGAGAUCUGGAGGAAUACCGGUGGCGAAGGCGGCCCCCUGGACGAAGACUGACGCUCAGGUGCGAAAGCGUGGGGAGCAAACAGGAUUAGAUACACCUGGUAGUCCACGCCGUAAACGAUGUCGACUUGGAGGUUGUGCCCUUGAGGCGUGGCUUCCGGAGCUAACGCGUUAAGUCGACCGCCUGGGGAGUACGGCCGCAAGGUUAAAACUCAAAUGAAUUGACGGGGGCCCGCACAAGCGGUGGAGCAUGUGGUUUAAUUCGAUGCAACGCGAAGAACCUUACCUGGUCUUGACAUCCACAGAACUUUCCAGAGAUGAAUUGGUGCCUUCGGGAACUGUGAGACAGGUGCUGCAUGGCUGUCGUCAGCUCGUGUUGUGAAAUGUUGGGUUAAGUCCCGCAACGAGCGCAACCCUUAUCCUUUGUUGCCAGCGGUCCGGCCGGGAACUCAAAGGAGACUGCCAGUGAUAAACUGGAGGAAGGUGGGGAUGACGUCAAGUCAUCAUGGCCCUUACGACCAGGGCUACACACGUGCUACAAUGGCGCAUACAAAGAGAAGCGACCUCGCGAGAGCAAGCGGACCUCAUAAAGUGCGUCGUAGUCCGGAUUGGAGUCUGCAACUCGACUCCAUGAAGUCGGAAUCGCUAGUAAUCGUGGAUCAGAAUGCCACGGUGAAUACGUUCCCGGGCCUUGUACACACCGCCCGUCACACCAUGGGAGUGGGUUGCAAAAGAAGUAGGUAGCUUAACCUUCGGGAG
This 1342-nucleotide ribosomal RNA is filed under the name Escherichia coli. Its description in RNAcentral is "bacterial SSU rRNA". It matches the Rfam family "Bacterial small subunit ribosomal RNA", at positions 110 to 1448 of the family's 1533-position model. The record is from RNAcentral. Lineage: Bacteria; Pseudomonadati; Pseudomonadota; Gammaproteobacteria; Enterobacterales; Enterobacteriaceae.